This 90-nucleotide transfer RNA is filed under the name Oscillospiraceae bacterium. RNAcentral's name for it is "tRNA-Ser". It matches the Rfam family "tRNA". Rfam says of the family: Transfer RNA (tRNA) molecules are approximately 80 nucleotides in length. Their secondary structure includes four short double-helical elements and three loops (D, anti-codon, and T loops). The record is from RNAcentral. Lineage: Bacteria; Bacillati; Bacillota; Clostridia; Eubacteriales; Oscillospiraceae.
GGAGAAGUACCCAAGGGGUUAAGGGGGCAGUUUGCUAAACUGUUAGCUCGGGUAACCGGGGCGCGAGUUCGAUCCUCGCCUUCUCCGCCA